Molecule: long non-coding RNA, 1208 nt
Organism: Nematostella vectensis (starlet sea anemone)
Lineage: Eukaryota; Metazoa; Cnidaria; Anthozoa; Actiniaria; Edwardsiidae
Exons: 2
Source: RefSeq, a predicted model, not a curated record
UUCACAGAGAUCGGACAUAGCCAUGCGUUAUACUUCCCGAUAGACACUCAAGAGUAGGCUUUGAAAACAAACCGGAAAGUGUGCGUUUUAAAGACGCAGGCUAGUCAAUAGUGUGAAAGAAUCUAAUUUUCGGUACGAGAAACACAUUAUGGCGUUUGUAAUUGGUUGUUAGAAGACAAGGUUGAUACAACUUUCUUAUUCAAACAUCAAAAGCAAGCUGUUAUAAGUUGAUUUACGUCUAGUUAUGUGCUUUGGGAAAGCACCCGACUCCGGGACAGAUGGAGCACCAAAGGUUGAGCUCUCUGUUGGUGGUCAUAUGAUAUGAUUAAAAAAACUGCUAUCUUGUAAGCUAGGAGAUAAGGCCCGAACAAACCGGAAAGUGUGCGUUUUAAAGACGCAGGCUAGUCAAUAGUGUAGAAGAAUCUAAUUUUCGGUACAAGAAACACAUGGCGCUUGUAAUUGCUUGUAAGGACAUGAUAUAAUUUUUCUUGUUCAAACAUCAAAGCAAGCUGUUAUUAGUUGAUUUAUAGUUGAUUUACGUCUUUAAAGCUAGCUAUGUGCUUUUGGUUUGCUUUAUUUUGGGUAUAAGUUCAUAAUAUUUCCUACAUUCAUGUCACCAUCCUGGGCUUACAUUCAAAGUAGUGGACUACAAUUUAUUUCAUUGAGCAUUUUUGUCUAUAGUUUGGUGAGCUUGAGUAUAAGCAGGGUAUAAAUAACAAUGUCAAGUAAUUUAUCCCUUAGGAUAAAACCAAUCGCAUGUCUAUUAGUGCGUUCGAAAAUGCAACGGUCUAGAUAUUCAUGCAAGCAUGAGAUCAAGAGACAGAUAUAGGCAUGGAAAGGCAGUGAAAAUAUUAUAUCCUCGCAAACUUUAAACACCGCCAGAUUACUGUUUUCCAAAAGUAGUUGUUUAUCCGAGAACUAGACAUUUUGCUGCCAAUAAACAGUGAACAAUACGCUCUGAGAAUAAAGCCGAUGUUUUGGGAUGUUGGCGCGUUCUAGAGACCCCUUUUAGGGGUAGCGAUGGGUAAGUUCGAGAUUUGCCGAGGCGCCAAGACCGCGUUUUAGAAUCCGAGCCCGAGACUUUAAGUCAAAUUUCGGAAUCCGUGUCCGAGCUUUUACUAGCUUGUGUUCGGACAUCAGAUAACUUGCUCGAGAAAGACAUGACAUAUUUGGUAUAGCGAAAAGAGAUUCUGGGAGAGCUGUGCAAA